RNA transcript from Cinclus cinclus, 1188 nucleotides. It is a transcript of the gene named enoyl-CoA hydratase domain containing 2, with no coding region annotated. The transcript has 9 exons. The record is from RefSeq and is a predicted model, not a curated record. NCBI's taxonomy places the organism in Eukaryota, Metazoa, Chordata, Aves, Passeriformes, Cinclidae.
CACCGGCCGGGUGUCCCUGGCCAGAGAGCAGCCACGGCCAGAUUUAUAAACAUCCCUGCUUGUCCUCUUGAGUUUCCUCAUCCUGGCGAUUAUCAGACGUUGCUCCAAAGCGGAGGUGCAAUGAAGCUCGCCGGUUCUCCAGAGAAGGGCAGCGAAGAUGGUGACGGGCCUGGAGUGUGCAUCCUGUGGGGAGCAGCUGAUGGUGCUCAUCCUGGAGAAAAGGAGGCUCGGGGGGACCCUUCCCGCUCUCCACGGCUCCCUGACAGGAGGUGCAGCCAGCUGUUCAGUGCCCUGGAACAGCUCCGCUUUGAUGAGCAGGUGCGCGUGGUGGUGUUCAAGAGCCAGGUGAAAGGAGUGUUUUGUGCAGGAGCAGAUUUAAAGGAACGUGCAAAGAUGGAUGAUGCAGAAGUUGGAGAGUUUGUUAGAAGACUGAGAAAUCUUAUGGAUGAAAUAGCUGCCCUGCCUGUGCCCACGAUCGCUGCCAUCGAUGGCUACGCCUUGGGCGGUGGAUUAGAGCUGGCCCUGGCCUGUGACCUCCGUGUGGCAGCUUCAUCAGCUAAAAUGGGCCUUAUUGAGACCACACGAGGACUUCUGCCUGGAGCAGGUGGAACCCAGCGCCUGCCCAGAUGUGUUGGAAUAGGUCUUGCAAAGGAACUCAUUUUCACUGGCAGACAGAUUGAUGGAGAACAGGCAGCCUCCAUGGGGCUGGUAAAUCACUCAGUGCCACAGAACAGUGAGGGAGAUGCAGCUUACCAGAGAGCUUUAACUUUGGCUAAAGAAAUCCUGCCCCAGGACAGUUUUACACCCCAGCUGCAGCCACGAAGACCUGCAGGACACAUUGAAACUUCACACCAUGUUCAUCUGUGAACUGCAGACAACACCCUACUGGUUUUUUAAAAAACACUUAUUAACUUAUUGCAAAUUUCUGUAGAUAUAAUGUAGAUAUAUAGAUACAUUAAUACAGCAGUCUAUCGUGAAUUAAUGUGAAUUUAAUUAUUUUAAAAUAUUUGUUGUGGUUUGGUUUUGUUUUUAAUAAAGGCACCAUUUGCUGUGAAAAUGGGAAAACUGGCAAUAAACAAAGGAAUGGAGGUUGACAUUGCAUCAGGAAUGGCUAUUGAGGGGAUGUGUUAUACCCAGAAUAUUCCCACCAGAGACCGUCAGGAAGGGAUGGCUGCCUUCAGGGAGAAG